GAUGAAGAACGUAGUGAAAUGCGAUAAGUAAUGUGAAUUGCAGAAUUCAGUGAAUCAUCGAAUCUUUGAACGCACAUUGCGCCCCCUGGAAUUCCGGGGGGCAUGCCUGUUCGAGCGUCUCAGGGACGAACCCUCGCGCGGGUGUACGCGCGGUCGUGGCUGCGGUGGCGUGCCCGAGGCGGCGGCCACCGCGCUGGAAUCCCUGGGCGGACGCCUGCCGCGUGGCCGAGCGUGAUAUGACGCAUUGGCGCUCGCACGCGGCGAGGCUGCCAGCCCUGGCCCGUCUGUCGGGCGGGGGAGAGCAAGACACGUGAACUCCUCGAAUCAGGUAGGGAUACCCGCUGAACUUAAGCAUAUCAAUAAGCGGAGGA
RNAcentral lists this unclassified non-coding RNA (371 nucleotides) under soil metagenome. RNAcentral describes it as "partial contains 5.8S ribosomal RNA, internal transcribed spacer 2, and large subunit ribosomal RNA". The stretch from base 1 to 120 matches the Rfam family "5.8S ribosomal RNA", at positions 35 to 154 of the family's 154-position model. The record is from RNAcentral.